This is a long non-coding RNA of Brassica napus (rape), 1943 nucleotides long. RefSeq lists it as uncharacterized. The record is from RefSeq and is a predicted model, not a curated record. NCBI's taxonomy places the organism in Eukaryota, Viridiplantae, Streptophyta, Magnoliopsida, Brassicales, Brassicaceae. The transcript is spliced from 6 exons.
UCGUAAAUAAACAAAAUGUAUUGUUUUGAUUUAUGUGCUUACUCUUAUUUAAUUAUGGGACAUUUGCUAAAAACAACCCAAAUAUUCAAGUCAAAUCUAAAAGUGUACCCCACUUUCAGUCAAAUACAAAACCAACCUAAAGAGGUAGUGAAAGUACUAUUUAACUCUUAUGACCAAACAAAAAAACAGAAUGUAUUUUACGUUUAUAUCCUUCGGAAGUCUACACAUAAUAAAAGAAAUCUACAUAUAUAUAGACUUCAUACGAAGUCUACCUUAUAGACUUAUUUUGUAGUCUACACUCUAAUUUGAUCAAAUAAUUUAAUUUUUAAAAUGUAUAAAAAUAAUUAUUGUGAUAUUUUUAACUAAUCAUCAAUAUAAUGGAUAAUACAAAGUAAAUAAAUUAAAUUUUCAUAUAAUUGAACAAUUUUAAAGAAUAUAUACUAAUUUGGUUACCAAGUGUUAGACAAUGUUCAUAGUUUAGAAACAAAAGGUUCUAACAUGUUAUAUCUCAUUAGAUUUCUAAGGGUUAGAUUUUAGAUUGAGAUUUUUUUUGUUUUAUUACUUAAAUUUAUAUAUUAAUGAUUAGUAGUUUAUAUUUUGUAUAUUUGGAUAUUUGAACCAAUAAUUGAGAUUUUUUAUUACCAAGCAAACAUUUAGGAUUUGUGAUUUGUGGUUUAGGGUUUAGUAGACUUACAAUAAAGUCUACUUCACUAUAGACGGCUUUUUCAGUCUACUUUAGUCGGUAUUUACAAAAAAAAAUUAUUUUAAAAUUAAAUUUUGUUAUUUAAGAUAAAAAUAUGUCAUUUUAUAUUUUAACUAUUAAAAUAAUGAAAUAAAUUUAAUAAAUUAUAUAUUAAAAUUAAUAAAACAAUAACUUAUUAAAGGAAUGAAGAAAAAAAUCAUAAAAAGGUUACAUAUUAUAUUUUAAAUAAUAAAUAUAAGAAAAAUAAAAUUCUAGUAGACUUAUAAAUAUGUCUACCAAACCGUAAAUAUUUUAACCUAACCAGAUUUUAACCAAAAUAAUUUAACUUAACCAAAAUUAAACCAUAAAAGUUUAACCUAACCGGAUGUAGUACCCAACAUAUAAAUACAUUUUAUUUUGUGAAAUUUGGUAAAAACACAAAACCUAGCGCCGUUGCGGCUCUCUCUUCCUUCUUCUUACUCGCCGUCCUCUCCGAAUCACCAUCUCCACCUCGUUUCCGUCCACCUCGUCACUACCGUUCCUCUACUCCUGUUCAAGAGUCUCGGGAGUGAGGACAGUGGUGAGCCGGAGAUGAGUAGCGGCGGUGAGGAGACAGAGCUUAACUUCGACUUCCAUGGAGUUCUUCCGUGUGUUCGAACUCGAGAGAUGAGAUUGAGUUGGAUUCAAAGGAAACGAAGACGCGGUGCGACGGAGGGUGAAUAUAGCUGCUGAACCACAUUUUCCAAAACUGUACGUUAAGGCUUGGGCACUGAUGAAUAACUGCCACAAACCAGCUGAGGACGACAUUGAAAGUUUGAAUAUAGAGUAACCGAAGAGAUUCAAAAGGAUCGUCUCACAAACAAUACUCAUGAAGCAUGUCUCCCAAUUCAUGAAAACUGUAGGGUUUUAACAGCUCAUGGGUCAAAUACAAUCGUGUAUGUAACAGAUGAUCAUGUUGAUAUCAGUACAAGUAACCGAGACACUGGGAGAUCAGCAGUAGAGUUGUCUUUAUAUCGUUUUCUAAGCAGUAGAUUUUGUUAUUGAUGAAAACUGAGUUGUCUUGUUUUACUUAAUCAGAAAAACACAAAAAAGAUUUGAGUAAACUAUUUUGUAUCAGAAUGAUGUAUUGUUGGUGUAACAAAUUUGUGUAGUUUGCUUCUAGGAGAUUUCUCUUAUAAUUUUAUGUAAAAGAAGACUAAUAUUGAAGUCUACUCAGCAUAAAGUAGACUUGGUUAACACACUUGAUGUUUUGUAUUCGUCA